This 491-nucleotide ribosomal RNA is filed under the name uncultured bacterium. Its description in RNAcentral is "partial 16S ribosomal RNA". It matches the Rfam family "Bacterial small subunit ribosomal RNA", at positions 28 to 506 of the family's 1533-position model. The record is from RNAcentral.
GAUGAACGCUAGCUACAGGCUUAACACAUGCAGGUCGAGGGGAAACGACAUCGAAAGCUUGCUUUUGAUGGGCGUCGACCGGCGCACGGGUGAGUAACGCGUAUCCAACCUGCCCAUCACUUGGGAAUAACCUUGCGAAAGUAAGACUAAUACCCAAUGAUAUCCCACGAAGGCAUCGGAAUGGGAUUAAAGAUUUAUCGGUGAUGGAUGGGGAUGCGUCUGAUUAGCUUGUUGGCGGGGUAACGGCCCACCAAGGCAACGAUCAGUAGGGGUUCUGAGAGGAAGGUCCCCCACAUUGGAACUGAGACACGGUCCAAACUCCUACGGGAGGCAGCAGUGAGGAAUAUUGGUCAAUGGGCGAGAGCCUGAACCAGCCAAGUAGCGUGCAGGAAGACGGCCCUAUGGGUUGUAAACUGCUUUUAUAAGGGAAUAAAGUGGGUCACGUGUGACUUUUUGCAUGUACCUUAUGAAUAAGGACCGGCUAAUUCCGU